UUCGCAAUGCCCGAAAGGGUGACGAAGCGACGCCGCGUGGGUGAGGAAGGCCUUCGGGUUGCAAAGCCCUGUCAGGAGUUAAGAAAUGUAAGUGUGCUAAUAUCGCAUUUACUUGACGAAGGCUCCAAAGGAAGUCACGGCUAACUCUGUGCCAGCAGCCGCGGUAAUACAGAGGUGGCAAGCGUUGUUCGGAAUUAUUGGGCGUAAAGAGCACGUAGGUGGGUUUGUAAGUCAGAUGUGAAAGCCUCCUGUUCAACGGGAGAAUUGCAUCUGAAACUACUGAUCUUGAGUAUAGGAGGGGAGAAUGGAACUUCUGGUGGAGCGGUGAAAUGCGUAGAUAUCAGAAGGAACGCCGGCGGCGAAAGCGAUUCUCUGGCCUAUUACUGACACUCAGUGUGCGAAAGCUAGGGGAGCAAACGGGAUUAGAUUCCCCGGUAGUCCUAGCCGUAAACGAUGGGCACUAAGUAGAGGGGUUUU
RNAcentral lists this ribosomal RNA (477 nucleotides) under Candidatus Scalindua brodae. RNAcentral describes it as "bacterial SSU rRNA". It matches the Rfam family "Bacterial small subunit ribosomal RNA", at positions 365 to 832 of the family's 1533-position model. The record is from RNAcentral. Lineage: Bacteria; Pseudomonadati; Planctomycetota; Candidatus Brocadiia; Candidatus Brocadiales; Candidatus Scalinduaceae.